Molecule: ribosomal RNA, 1127 nt
Filed under: human gut metagenome
Description: bacterial LSU rRNA
Rfam family: Bacterial large subunit ribosomal RNA
Source: RNAcentral
AGCCCAAGGUUUCCUGCUCUACGUUCAUCGGAGCAGGGUGAGUCGGCCCCUAAGGCCAGGCUGAGAAGCGUAGUCGAUGGGAACAAGGUUAAUAUUCCUAGACCAUUGUCAAGUAUGCGAUGGGGGGACGGAGUGUGGAAGAUGAUCCGGGUGUUGGAUGUCCCGGUUUGUGAGAGUAGAACGAGAGCAGGCAAAUCCGCUCUCGGAUGUUCGAGUCAAAACAUCGAAGCUCUACGGAGCUGAAGUCAUCGGAAGUGCUUCCAAGAAAAGCCUCUAAGUGGUAGCUUGACAAGACCGUACCGCAAACCGACACUGGUGGGCGAGUUGAAUAUACUAAGGCGCUUGAGAGAACUCGGGAGAAGGAACUCGGCAAAUUGACACCGUAACUUCGGGAUAAGGUGUGCCUUUGUAGCGUGAAGAGAGAAACACUCGGAGCGUGAAGAGGCCUCAGAGAAUCGGUGGCUGCAACUGUUUAUUAAAAACACAGCACUCUGCAAAGACGAAAGUCGACGUAUAGGGUGUGAUGCCUGCCCGGUGCUGGAAGAUUAAGUGAUGGGGUGAGAGCUCCUGAUCGAAGUCCCAGUAAACGGCGGCCGUAACUAUAACGGUCCUAAGGUAGCGAAAUUCCUUGUCGGGUAAGUUCCGACCUGCACGAAUGGCAUAAUGAUGGCCACACUGUCUCCUCCCGAGACUCAGUGAAGUUGAAAUGUUUGUGAUGAUGCAAUCUCCCCGCGGCUAGACGGAAAGACCCCAUGAACCUUUACUGUAGCUUUGCAUUGGACUUUGAACCGAUUUGUGUAGGAUAGGCGGGAGGCAGAGAAAGCGCAACGCCAGUUGUGCCGGAGCCGACGUUGAAAUACCGCCCUGAUUUGUUUGAGGUUCUAACCGCGACCCGUGAGCCGGGUCCGGGACCGUGCAUGGCAGGCAGUUUGACUGGGGCGGUCUCCUCCUAAAGGGUAACGGAGGAGUACAAAGGUACGCUAGGUACGGUCGGAAAUCGUGCUGAUAGUGCAAAGGCAAAAGCGUGCUUGACUGCGAGACCGACAAGUCGAGCAGAUGCGAAAGCAGGUCUUAGUGAUCCGGUGGCUCUGUAUGGAAGGGCCAUCGCUCAACGGAUAAAAGGUACU